Molecule: ribosomal RNA, 602 nt
Filed under: uncultured archaeon
Lineage: Archaea
Description: bacterial SSU rRNA
Rfam family: Archaeal small subunit ribosomal RNA
Source: RNAcentral
GGUGUCUUCGGACGCCGGCAUACGGCUCAGUAACACGUAGGUAACCUACCCUCAGGACUGAGAUAACCCCGGGAAACUGGGGCUAAUAUUAGAUAGAUAAAAGAUACUGGAAUGUUCUUUUAUCCAAAGCUUUUGCGCCUGAGGAUGGGCCUGCGUCCGAUUAGGUUGUUGGUGGGGUAAUGGCCCACCAAGCCUGCGAUCGGUACGGGCAGUGGGAGCUGAAGCCCGGAGUUGGGGACUGAGACAAGGCCCCAGGCCCUACGGGGCGCAGCAGGCGCGAAACCUCUGCAAUGCGGGAAACCGUGACAGGGGGAUCCCAAGUGCUCAUGCAUUGCAUGGGCUGUUCUUUGGUCUAAGUAACCAGAGGAGUAAGGGCUGGGCAAGACCGGUGCCAGCCGCCGCGGUAAUACCGGCAGCUCAAGUGGUAGCCGCGAUUAUUGGGCCUAAAACGUUCGUAGCCGGAUAAGUAAGUCUUUGGUUAAAUCCUGCGACUCAACCGUGGGAAUUCUAGAGAUACUGCUUGUCUUGAGACCGGGAGAGGUUGGAGGUACUCCUAGGGUAGGGGUGAAAUCCUGUAAUCCUAGGGGGACCACCUGUGGCGA